This 446-nucleotide ribosomal RNA is filed under the name Palmipenna palmulata. RNAcentral's name for it is "partial 16S ribosomal RNA". It matches the Rfam family "Archaeal large subunit ribosomal RNA", at positions 1908 to 2596 of the family's 2987-position model. The record is from RNAcentral. Lineage: Eukaryota; Metazoa; Arthropoda; Insecta; Neuroptera; Nemopteridae.
CAUGUCUUUUUGAUAAUAAUAUAAAGUCUAAUCUGCCCACUGAAGUUUUUAAAGGGCCGCAGUAAUCUGACUGUGCAAAGGUAGCAUAAUCAUUUGUCUCUUAAUUAGAGGCUGGUAUGAAUGAUUGAACGAGGUAAAAACUGUCUCAUUAUUAAAAUAAUAAAAAUUUAGCUUUUUAGUCAGAAGGCUAAAAUUCUUUUGGAGGACGAGAAGACCCUAUAGAUCUUUAUAAUAAAAGUAAGUUCUUUGAUUUGGAUUAAAACUUCAGUGAGCUUUUUUUUAUUAUUUUGUUGGGGUGACAUGAAAAUUAAUUGAACUUUUCAUUUUUUAAAACAUUAAUAAAUGAUUUUAUGAUCCUGUAUUAUUGAUUAUAAGAAUAAGUUACCUUAGGGAUAACAGCGUAAUUUUAUUGGAGAGUUCAUAUUGAUAAUAAAGUUUGCGACCUC